CAUGGUUGUCAGGCUUUACACUGGACUCUGAUCCUCCUUCCCUUCCAGUACCAGUUGGCUUAGGGUUUAUUUCAGUGACAAAUCUUAAACUGUGCUGCACCUCGCCAUCCUGCAGAGGGGUGGCUGCUUUGAUGGAGAUGGAAGGACAUACUCAUUCACUGGAUCUAUGACUUUUCUCCAAGGUACAGCAUCAGGACAAUGCAAAAGGAGAAAUGAACAGCCUGUUCUAACAUGCCAAAAAAAUUCAGCCAUAAUGGAAUCCACAGAAACUGACAGAUAUUCAACUUCUUACAUCUAAACUAAAACUUCUGUAAUCACUAUAUUCUAUUGAAAAGGGAUAAAAAUAAGCUUUGAAAUAAUUUUGAAAACAAAGAUCUAUAUAGAGAAUACAUGCAAAUAAACUGAGCAAAUCAGUUGAUGAAUUCCUUUUUGGUAAAUCUUUUCUCCCAAAUUCAUCUGGAUGAUGUCAAACAUUAAAGUUCCUAAAACCA
This 491-nucleotide long non-coding RNA is filed under the name Homo sapiens (human). RNAcentral describes it as "HSALNT0336000". The record is from RNAcentral. Lineage: Eukaryota; Metazoa; Chordata; Mammalia; Primates; Hominidae.